RNAcentral lists this small RNA (78 nucleotides) under Flavobacterium circumlabens. RNAcentral's name for it is "Flavo-1 RNA". It matches the Rfam family "Flavo-1 RNA". Lineage: Bacteria; Pseudomonadati; Bacteroidota; Flavobacteriia; Flavobacteriales; Flavobacteriaceae. The record is from RNAcentral.
GCCUAGCCCAGAUGGAAGCGGCAUCCUUUUUCUGGCUUCUUUAGCCAGGAAAAGAUAAAGCGGACAGCUGGAAAGAGC